CCGCAUGGUGGUGCAGUUGGUAGCACUGUUGCCUUGCACCAAGAAGGUCCUGGGUUCCACUCCCGGCCGGAGGU
This is a non-coding RNA of Characodon lateralis, 74 nucleotides long. Lineage: Eukaryota; Metazoa; Chordata; Actinopteri; Cyprinodontiformes; Goodeidae. The record is from the annotation of a GenBank genome assembly.